Molecule: long non-coding RNA, 273 nt
Filed under: Setaria viridis
Lineage: Eukaryota; Viridiplantae; Streptophyta; Magnoliopsida; Poales; Poaceae
Description: long non-coding RNA (SVIR_LNC011038)
Source: RNAcentral
CAUUAAAAAUUCAACUAAAAAUAUGGAUGGAUGCAAAAUUUGGGAUUGAACAAAAAUCUGUGCAAGGAGAAACAAAAAGACAAAUCAGUGUGCGGGUUGCGCAACCACUUAUCUGCUCUUCUUUCGCUUGAAAAAUGGACGACGGACUGAAACACGUGCAGUUGCUUAAUAAGAUGCAAUCACACAAACGACCGUAUCGGAUCGUCUUCGAGAUACACGGCCAACACACACCACUAGCCAAACUGCACUUGUGUUACGCGCGAGUGAAGCCCC